Molecule: ribosomal RNA, 728 nt
Filed under: uncultured archaeon
Lineage: Archaea
Description: bacterial SSU rRNA
Rfam family: Archaeal small subunit ribosomal RNA
Source: RNAcentral
AGGUUAUCCGAGUGAUUCCUGCUAAAGGAAUCUUUUGUUAGUCAUAAAACCACUGAUGAAUAAGGGGUGGGCAAGUUCUGGUGUCAGCCGCCGCGGUAAUACCAGCACCUCGAGUGGUCAGGAGGUUUAUUGGGCCUAAAGCAUCCGUAGCCGGCUGUUCAAGUUUUCGGUUAAAUCCAUGCGCUUAACGUAUGGGCUGCCGGGAAUACUGCAUAACUAGGAAGUGGGAGAGGUAGACGGUACUCGGGAGGAAGGGGUAAAAUCCUUUGAUCUAUUGAUGACCACCUGUGGCGAAGGCGGUCUACCAGAACACGUUCGACGGUGAGGGAUGAAAGCUGGGGGAGCAAACCGGAUUAGAUACCCGGGUAGUCCCAGCUGUAAACUAUGCAAACUCAGUGAUGCAUUGGCUUAUGGCCAAUGCAGUGCUGCAGGGAAGCCGUUAAGUUUGCCGCCUGGGAAGUACGUACGCAAGUAUGAAACUUAAAGGAAUUGGCGGGGGAGCACCACAAGGGGUGAAGCCUGCGGUUCAAUUGGAGUCAACGCCAGAAAUCUUACCCGGAGAGACAGCAGAAUGAAGGUCAAGCUGAGGACUUUACCAGACAAGCUGAGAGGUGGUGCAUGGCCGUCGCCAGCUCGUGCCGUGAGAUGUCCUGUUAAGUCAGGUAACGAGCGAGAUCCCUGCCUCUAGUUGCCACCAUUACUCUCAGGAGUAGUGGGGCGAAUUAGCG